This 17855-nucleotide long non-coding RNA is filed under the name Medicago truncatula (barrel medic). RNAcentral describes it as "long non-coding RNA (MTRU_LNC007097)". The record is from RNAcentral. Lineage: Eukaryota; Viridiplantae; Streptophyta; Magnoliopsida; Fabales; Fabaceae.
AAUUCAUCGACAUAUUUAACCCAAAAUCGGGCUUGAGCUCUAUCAUAAGGAUCAGCAGGAAGCAAUGUGUUUUGUGGCCAUAUCUCAUCAAUGUAUUCAACAAUGAUCAUUGACUCGCAUAUGGGUUUUCCAUCAUGAACCAACACUGGAGUCUUCUUGUGUAUUGGGUUAUAUUGAAGAAGCAGAGGACUUUUAUUGAAACGAUCUUCCUCUAUGUUCUCAUAUGGUAUACCCUUUAGAUUCAAGGUCCAUACUACCCUCAAAGUAUAAGGACUAUACCAAAAUCCGUGUAGUUUCACCUCUGCCAUCCUAGCUUGUGCUGUGUUAUCCUAAACCCACACCAGUCCUUUUAUAGAUGGUGAUCCACCCAUGACCCAUGGAGUUAUUUGGCCUUGUCAACUAGUCAAAUUCAAAACAAAAUAGAAUUUGUAUUGCUAUAUUUUUUUUUUUUUUGACGUUCUGUAUUGCUAUCCCUAACAAAUUAAUAGUCAGACUUAACAAGCACCAUAUGACGUUGCAUUUUUUAUUUUAUUUUUAUAAUUUUUUUGGGACGGAUUUAUGAAUAAAAUAGUUAAAAAAAACUAUCUACUUAUCAUUAUAUUAAAAAGACAUUAAAUUAUUUAAUUCUCUAAAAAAAAAAAAUUAAAGUUAUUUAAUAGAAAAAGAAAUAAUCGAUAUGUCCUUUAUUUGCUUAAUUUCUCUUUAUAAAUAUAAAAAACCUUAUAAGAAGAUUUCCUUCAAUCUUCGUCAAUGUUUUAAUGGGUGCAUGGUCUUCCACACAAAUGUUUCUUUUUUUUCCCGUCAGCAUUAUUUUUUUUUUUUGGCAACACUAUUUUUUUUUUAUAGAUAGACGAAAUUACAAAACCAUUAUAAAUUCACACACACAAAUGAAGGUAUCGGGGUUCGAACUCCGAUCAUAACAUCCGCCUAACAAUUUCGGCAUUUUUCUAGUUGAACUAAGGCUUCUGGAUGCAACACUAUAUUAUUAUUUAUUGAGUAAAAAGAAAACAAGCAUUAUUUUUUGUAUAUUCAGAAUCGGUGUUGUAAGUGCUUGCAUCACUAACAGAUAAAUACGCAUGUGUACGCACUAUUCGGUGUACGUGAGUUUGUCCUUUAUGAUAGUAGUAAUAUGGGACAUGCUAACGAAUGUCAUAAUGACAUUUGUUAAGAAUUUCAAAAUGAAAAUAAUUUUAAAUUCUAUAAAGACAAAAUUAUUUUUUGAUUUUAAAUAUAGUAUUGAAUGCACUAUUCUCUAAACAAAAUUUAUUUUUAGACUUUUUAACUAGUAUUUAAGAGCAUCUUGCAUUGGUAGUAAAGUACAGGAUCUUUAAAUGAGUUCUACGUGUAGAUGUCAUUUAUUUAUAAUUUUUAAAUAAAAAUAACUAUUAAGAAUUCAAUAACUUCAAUGGUAUUAAACUAAAAAUAGUCCUUAAAUAGGUGCACUAAUAUGUAUUUUAACAUGUGCAGUUAGAAAAUAAAUAAAAAGAAAUUGAAAAGAUAAAUAAUCACAUGAAUUUGAGAUGGUGAAGCCAACUUUUAUAUAUUUUAUUUCCUAUUUUAAUCGUGAGAUCCGUCACUUGCUAAAGAGAGAGUUCUUAUAUAGUUGUCGGUAAUUAAUAAGUACUCACUUUUUUCUUCAUGAAACGGGAGUUCUUAAUUAGCUGAAGUCCUUAUUAAAUAAAUGAUUCUAUAUUGAAGAUGAUCUAAGAACAUUUGUUAGCAUUUUCUAUAAAAAAAAAAAAAAAAUCUUUUAUGGUAGUAUUGGUUUUAAGGGAGGGAUAUUAGGCCCUCCACGGUAUUGUUUAAAAAAAAAAAGGUCUUAUCAAAAAAUAAAAAUUAAAGAAAUAAAAAAAUGUAUAUGUUGUAUAGAAAAUCAUAUAUUUAUUAUUUUGACCAAUUUAAACUUAUAUUUUUAAGAUAAAAUAUUCCUUUAUGGAUUUUUUAAGCAAUAUCUUUAGAGUAUUUGUUAACUUGAUAUUGUUUGAUUUAUCGUUUUCAAUUAAAGUGUAAAUAUGUAUCUGAGUGUAGUCCGUAUAGAAACUUAAGCGUGCGUAUCAUUAAUUUUACUUUUAGAUGAGUCAAAUUAAUGUUGACUUGUUAAGAUGUUUUCCAGUAGAAUUGUGCAAUAGUAUCUACCAACAACAAAAAAAAAAAAGAAUUGUGCAAUAGAAAUAAGAUUAAAAAGAGAAUUAAAUUACUCUGUAAUUGGAGCCAACUUUGUUACUCUAGGUUUACUCAAAUGAUUUCUUGCCUUUAUCCAUGUCUUUUGUUCAUUGCAUGUAGUGAGAAUAAUGCUACAACUUAGGUAAAUUUUGGGUUAAGAUCCUCUUCAUUUAUGUGUUUCUUCAUUUCUUUAAUUUGGAGAGAUAAAAGACACAUAAAAUCUUGAAAAAAAGUAAAAUAUAACUAAUGAUGGUGGAACCCACUUAGUGGUGGGACCCACCAUCUAUUUUUGUGUCUAUCUCUCCAAUUUGCAAAACUCCAUUUAUUUUGCCAAAUGGAGAGGAUCUUCGCCCGUAAAUUCUACGGAUAAGGUCUAGCAUUAACGGUAAGGUACUGCCGGUUGGAAGGGUUAAAUGCACGUUUAUUGUGAAGUUGGAAUUUCUAGUUUCUCAUUCCACCACUAAACACUGUAUUAGGAUGUGGUUUUUCCAGCUGCCGUGGAUUUAAAACUCUAAACCAAACACACAUAGGUGAGUUACAAAAGGAUGGCUCUAGAUUUAUUCCAUGGUGACUAGGUAAGGUUGUAAAAAUUCUUCUUUUUGAUCUAUUCAAAAAGAGUUAUGUUAUUUGAACAUCUAUUUAGAUGAUAACUUUUGAUAUAACCAAAAUUUUACAAAACAAUAGAGAGAAUAAGUAAAAUCAUAAUGUGAGUAUGAGAGAGAAAAUUAUCACAAAAAUUAUGAAAAAAAGUGUUGUUCAAAUAUCAUUUCUCAUUCAGAAAAUGUCAUUCAGCCACUUGGACUUGACUAGUAUUAAGGAUGCACUUCCUCCGUUUUUAAAUAUAAGCAAAUUUUACUUUAUAGGUUCAUUCAAUUAAUGAUGUACAAUAUGUGGUUUAUAACAUGAACUACAUACAUCAUUAAUUGAAUGAAUCUAAAAAGUAAAAUUUGUUUAUAUUUAAAAACGGAGGGAGUAUAAUGAAUCCAGACCCACUCCAACACAUUUAAACCGGUAUCCAUUUGUGUGCCACGGUUGGACCUCAACAUCAUUUUUAAUGUUAUCUUUUGAGUUAUUAGAGGAAGUCCCAUUGGGGCAUAGUAAUGCAAGGCAUUGUGGCUGUUCAUGAACACGAGACAAAGUAUCGGCCACUCGAUUUUUUGAACCCCAGAUUUAUAGAUGAUCUUAUGAGAGUACCCCAAUAACUUGGUCAAUUAGAUUUAUUGCUCCGGAGUUUGGAUUACUUGGGUCAUGAGUUCGCAAACUGUGUUGAUCUGUAUGGAUCACGAGUUUGCAGCCUAAUAGGUAAGACCUCCAUUUCUUAACACUACCAAUGUGAUGAGUGAUGACACAUAAUUCCUUAAUAUAAGUGGAUGCAUUUAGCAUCUUUUGGUAAAAUUUUAUGUUGUAAUCUAAGAUUCAAAAUUUGAACCGAAAAACGAAUCGACAAGACUUCUAAGUCGUGACCUAAACUGUUGUUCAACCAGAUAAUUGAUAAAUGAAUAAAUAAUUUUUUUUAAUUUGAUAAUUAAAUGUAGAAGGACAAGUUAAAGCUACUAUUAAACUUGUUUAAAGUUAAAGCAGCUAUUAUUAACAUAAAAAAUACACAUUACAAGAUGACCCACGAAGAUACAAAUACUUUAUCAUGAGACGACAUACGUCGUCGUUGGUGUUUUAAAAUUUUAUUAAGUAUUAAUUUAUGGUGGACGCUUCAUAUUAGAAUUUUUCAUGUUUCACAUAUAAAUUCAUAAAAGUCAUAGUUUUCUUAAGAAGAUGCCAUUAUUUUUUCAAUUAGAGGCCUUACAUAAGCCACAAACUUCUCUUGCUCAGGGGUGUUUUCUUUGAUGAUUGGAACAUCCUUGAAAUUAUUAAACCAUAAAUGCAAACGGGGGAAUCUCUCACUUUUUAAGAUCUUCACUUCAAACAUAUCUUCUUGAACCUCAAUAAAUUUGACAAAGGAUCCAAGAGCUAUGUCUACAAUGUUAAUGGUUUCUCCCCCAUAGAACUUAUUAUGAUCAUCCAAGCACUGGUCCUCAACAACUUUGAGUCGCUCCGAUAAAUUCUCCCUGGACUUUUCUCGUUCUUCACCUUUAAUUAUGCUUCGAUGGAACGCCCGAAUUGCCGAAAACUUCAAGUAUUGAUCCCAAUAUUAUUGUUAGUUUGAAUCAAGAUAGAAGGUAAAAUAUAAAGUUUUUUUUUUUGAAGCAGGUAAAAUAUAUUUGUUAUAGUCCAAUGAUUUUCUAUAGUAAGGGAGAGGUAAAACAAAUUUUAAUAUAUGAGAUUUUUUUUGUGCAUAUGAGACCUUUUUGUUUAUUAAAUCUAAUGAAAAAUAACUUUUUGUUUGUGCUUAAAAUGAAGGUUUUAGAAGUCUUACUCUUGAUUGGUCUUGAAUAUAGUUAUAAAUAGGCAAAACUACAACAUGAAUCCUUUAACUCAAUUUAAAGUUUUUUUUUUAGCAACUCAGUCUAAAGGUUUAAAAAGGUCGUUUAUAUGUUUUUUUCCAUGUCAAGCUGGUCAUUUAUGUUCAAAAACUUCAUUGGUAUUUAACCAAACUUCAUUUUUGAUAUAUGUAUGUUAUCAAAACUUUUACGAAACCAUUCAAAGAGAUUAAUUACAUCUUCAUUUUAUCAAUACAACAUCUAAAAUACAUCAUAACGGCUACUACAAUAUCAAAAUUAGCAUGAUAUAUUUUAAUUUUUUAUCCAAGAUUGUGAUCUUGUUAUCAACUAGAGUCCAAUUUUAGUGUUGAGUGUGGAACAUUCUUAAUAGUAUAUAUUCAAAGACCAUGUAGACAAUGGUAAAUAAGUGGAAUAAGAAUGAAAGUUAAGUCACUAGUGUAAGUAUUUUUAAAGAUAAAUGACUAAUUUGAUAUGGAAAAAGAAAAAUGAUUUGUUUGGAACUUUAAAUUAAGUUAAAUGACUUAUGGGUAGAUUUGCAUAGAAAACGAGUGGAACAUGUAUUGUGCAAGUGCAGUUUCAUGAUCACGAUGAAAAGGCUAGAAAUAAAAAAUAAAAAAAAGUAUACAAAUAUGAUGAUUAGGUUUUGAAAUUUGUUACCAUAUCAUCAAUAUAUUUAACCCAAAAUCGGGCUUGAGCUCUAGCAUAAGGAUCAGCAGGAAGCAAUGAAUUUUGUGGCCAUAUCUCAUCAAUGUAUUCAACAAUAAUCAUGGACUCACAUAUGGGUUUUCCAUCAUGAACCAGCACUGGAGUUUUUUUGUGUAUUGGGUUAUAUUGAAGAAGUUGAGGAGUCCUAUUGAAGUGAUCUUCUUCUAUACUAUCAUACGGUAUACCCUUCAGAUUUAGGGUCCAUACCACCCUUAAAGUGAAAGGACUAUACCAAGAUCCAUGUAGUUUUAUCUCUGCCAUCUUAAUUAGCCUGUGCAUGUUUUCCUAAAUGAAACACUAACCCUUUUUAAUAGGGUCAUCCAUGGAGCCAUUUGGCUUGGUCAACUAUUCAAAUUAAAAAGUAAAAUAGAAUACGUGUUACUAUCGCUUUGAUUUUUUACUCCAAUCCAUCGCUAUCAUUAACAAAUAUAACAAUUUGAAUAUGAAGUUGUGGAUUUAAUUAAGAUGAGAAAAGACAAAAUUGUGAAAAGAAAACAAAAUAUGACGAAUUUUUUCUAUAAAAUGCAUGUUGUUGGCAUUUUUUUAAUAUAUAUAUCAUGUUGGUCUUAAGUCAAUAUUCAUGACCACCAAACCAACCCUUGGUUUUAUAUAUUAAACCUUAUUAACUUUUUGGUAAUAAUAAUGUUGUGUGUGUCGUAUCCCCUAAAAAAUAAAUUGGUGUCGUAAGUGCUUGCAUCACUAACGGGAAAAAUAUUGUAUUAGAAAGAAAAAAACGGAUGAAAAAGAUUGUGUACAUGAUAGAAUUGUUUAUUUUUUCUUUCAUUUUUUUUUGGAUAAUAUGAUAGAAUUGUUUUAUUCGCCGUUUUCAACAUAAUUGCGAAAAACAUUUAAUUUAUAGACAUUUUGACAAAAAAUUUGACAUCGGUGAUGGUGUAAACUUUUUGUGUUAGCUAUUUGGCUCUUAUGAGAAAUAGAUAUGAUAAUUUAAAGUUGAUCAAAAAAUAAAUAAAGUUUGAUUAAAAAUUGUUUUAUUCGAGUUCAUCUUGUGCUUUUAAAGGACAACGUUAAUGAAUUAAGAGCUAUCAUGUGCCCUAUAAAUUAAAUGUAGAAAUACUUUGUUGGAAUUGGUACAUUAAAUUUAAUUUUUAAAUUUUCAAUUAAUUGAAUGCAUAAAAUUUAAAAGAAUGUUUUCUUUUGAGAUUCACACUUGUAGAAUCAACAAUUUUUUUUCUUGUUUCGGAUUUCAUCCCUAAGAUUCAAGGUCGUUAAUUGAACAAUGACUAUCCUUGCUCAUAAUAGAAACAACAACAAAGUUGUUAUUCUCCAGAAGUGCUUCAAGAAAUGUUUUGAUGAGAUACAAUGUACUCUCUCCAUCCUAAAUUAAGUCGUUUUAUAAAACAAUGAAACAUUAAUGUUUUUUUUUUUUAUUAUAACAUUAAUUAUUUAUUACUCUAUCUUUUUUCAAUUCUUUUAUUUAUUUUUUUCAUACCAUUUAAUAAGGACAAUUUUGUAAAAUAAUUUAUAAUAUGUUUUUAUCUUACUAAAUUAAUACAGUUUUUAAUAUGUGUGAAAAAGCACCAAAACGUCGUAUAAUUUAGGAAGGAUGGAGUAGAUUGCAAUCACCAAUGGAAAUUAAGUCGAUUCGUUGUUUGCACAAACACUAAUAAUGAACUUUUCGAUGUUGCUUCAACUUCACUGAGAUUUCACUUAUCAAAUUGUAGCUAUCUUGCCUUAGUAAUGAGUAAGGUAUGGAAAUAACCACUCGAAAACUUUGGCAAGAAGUUUCUAUGCGAUUGUGGAUAUAACCACUAAGUUCCUAGAUAGUUAGAAUGUCAAUUGUCAAAGACAACUAUUACACACUAAGCACCGAGAUGAGAAAAAUAACACUUAGAGAUUGAUAACUUGCAAUGCAAGCAAUCUCACCUAUACUAUUAGAUUGCACUUUCAGCUAUUGUGUAGUACAACUAGAUUAGUGUAGUACAUUUAGUUUGCCUAUAUAUACUGAUUGUAACUCUCUCAUUUGUUGAUAAUGAAGAAUCAUUUCAGUUUUCUAUUGUUUCAUAAUAUGGUAUCAGAGCACUCUCUUUGAGAGUAGUUCUGAUCCUAACCGUUUUUCUCUUCUCUUUUCCGCUGCAAUUCAUCGUCUUCUUCUCUUUUCUGGUUGAAUUUCUUGCAUUUUCUGCAAAUUCACCAUUGAUUACUCUAUUUUCUUCUUGUUUUCUGGUUGAAUUUCUUGCAUUUUCUGCAAAUUCACCAUUGAUUACUCUGUUUUCUUCUUGUUUUCUUCAUUAUCUUGAGCUUUUCAUCUUCAACAAUGGUGCGUAAUCAAAAUACUCAGCAGAACACCGAUUCAGUGUUCUACGUUCAUCCUAGCGAAGGUCCAAACUCCGUUGUUGUUACUCCACUUCUCACUGGAUCAAAUUACUUAGCUUGGAGUAGAUCGAUGCAACGUGCACUUGGCGCGAAAAAUAAGCUUGUUUUUAUCAAUGGUUAUGUGCCUAUACCUGAUCUUGAAGAUUUGAAUCGUGAUGCACGAAACGCUGCAUCUUAUUCACUCGUGGUUGAUUAACUCCGUUUCUCCUCAAAUUGCUCAAACUUUAGUUUUUCAUGAGCACGCCAUUGACGUUUGGGAAGAACUCAAAGAACACUUUGCAAAGGUUGAUAGAAUUCGCAUAGCUUCUUUAUGUUCUUCCAUCAACAAUUUGAAGCAAGGAUCUAAAACUGUUUUGGAAUAUUUCACUGAGAUGAAAAUUUUAUGGGAAGAGCUUAACUCUCAUCGCCCAAUGCCUAAUUGCACUUGUCCUUUUCCAUGCCGGUGUGAAGCUGUGAGAUCUGCAAGAGCACAUCAUAUGGAGGAUCAAGUGAUUCAAUUUCUGACUGGAUUGAAUGAUAAUUUCAAUGUGAUUAAAUCUCAAGUUCUCCUUCUAGAUCCUUUACCUUCUAUCAACAAGGUAUAUUCAUUGGUUGUACAAGAAGAGAGUAACAAUUGCACACUUUCUCUUCCUUCUGUAUCAGAAGAUUCUAGCAUUCUUCUUAAUGCUACUGAUUCUAAGAAGCAAUAUGGACAUGGUAAAUCUUUUGCUGGCUCAAAGAAUAAUUCUAGAUUUUGUACAUUCUGCAAACGUACAAACCACACUGUGGAAUUUUGCUAUCAACAGCAUGGAUGUCCUAAUUCAUACAAAUCCACUUCUUCAGCAAAUGCCACAAAUGCUUCUUCUUCUGGUACUGCAGAUAUUCAGCCUGUGAAUUCUGCAAUUGACAAUCCUCCUAUUACUGGUUUGACUCAAGAACAUUACAAUCAUCUUGUAUCUCUUCUUCAACAAUCACAAUUGCUUGCUUCAGGCCCUACCUCUUCUCCACCUACUUCCAACCAUAUUACUUCUGCUACAAGUUUCCCUUCUUCAUUUGUACCUCAUACUUCUACUCCUCCCUCAGGUAUAUCCACUAUAUUUUCGUGUGCUUUAUCUUAUUCAUCCCAUGAUUGGUUACUUGACUCUGGUGCUAAUGAGCACAUUUGUUCAUCAUUACACUAUUUUACCUCUUAUCAUCCUAUCAAACAUGUUCUUGUUCAUUUACCUAAUAAAACCACUGUUACUAUACACCAUGAUGGCACUGUUGUAUUUUCUCCACAUUUUCAUAUCACAAAUGUCUUAUAUUCUCCACAUUUUAAAGUUAAUCUGAUUUCAAUUGCCAAAAUUAUCAGUAGUUUGAAUUGUUAUGUCAAGUUUUUAUCUGACAAAUGCAUUAUACAGGAUCUGUUUACUAACAAGAUGAUUGGUUUGGCUGAUCCUUAUGGUGGUUUAUACAAAUUGAGGAUUUCUCCUUCAGCUUUUGCUUUUAAUUCUUCUGUUUCUCAUGUUCCUCAUUGUAAUAUUUCCAUAAAUAAAGAUUCUCAGUCUUUUGUUCCCAGUUCUUUUGUUCCUCAUUGUCAUAUGCUAAUAUUUCUUAUUCUCAUUCCUGUUUUGCUAUGUCCCUUCAUACAUAUACUGAGCCCAAAACCUUCACUGAGGCAAACAAGCAUGAUUGUUUGAAGAAAGCUAUGCAAGACGAGAUUAAUGCCUUGACUAAAACUAGUACUUGGAAGAUUUUUGAUCUUCCACCCAUAGGCUGCAGGUGGAUUUACAAAGUGAAACAUCAUGCUAAUGGCUCCAUAGAAAAAUAUAAGGCUAGAUUGGUUGCCAAGGGAUAUAACCAAAUUGAAGGUUUGGACUAUUUUGAAACAUAUUCUCCUGUUGCCAAGCUCACCACAGUCAAAAUUGUUCUUGCUUUGGCAUCUAUGCAUAACUGGCAUCUUCAUCAACUUGAUGUCAAUAAUGCAUUUCUGCAUGGAGACUUACAAGAAGAUGUUUACAUGAUUAUCCCUCCUGGUGUUUCACAUUCUAAUCCCAAUCAAGUGUGUAAAUUGAACAAGUCACUUUAUGGAUUGAAACAAUCAAGCAGGAAAUGGUAUGAGAAAUUAACCUCAUUACUACUUCUCCAUGAUUACAAACAGGCUUCCUCAGACCAUUCACUCUUUCUUAAAACCACUUCAUCUUCAUUCACUAUUUUGCUGUUUUAUGUUGAUGAUGUGAUCUUGGCUGGGAACUCUUUAGAGGAAUUCACUUCAAUCAAGCAGAUUCUUGAUAAUACUUUUUAAAUUAAAGAUUUGGGCAUUCUGAAAUACUUUCUUGGUAUUGAAGUUGCUCACUCUUCAUCUGGAAUUUCUCUUUGUCAGAGAAAAUAUUGCUUAGAUCUCCUUGAAGAUUCAGGAUUCCUCAACUCUAAGCCUAUUAGUACACCUUCUGACCCUAUUAUCAAACUUCACAAUGAUGGUUCAGAUCCUUAUACUGAUAUACCUGCUUAUAGGAGAUUGAUUGGUAGAUUACUGUACGUCAACACCACCAGGCUAGAUAUUACUUUCAUUACUCGGCAGCUGAGUCAAUUCCUCAGCAAUCCUACUCAAACUCAUUUCACUGCUGCUACAAGAGUAUUAAGAUACUUGAAAGGUUCUCCUGAACGAGGUAUCUUCUUCCCUAGAGAUGCUCACCUUCAAUUACAAGGCUUUUCAGAUGCAGACUGGGAAGGUUGCUGGGAUACCAGAAGAUCCAUCUCUGGUCAGUGUUUCUUCUUAGGCAACUCACUCAUUUCAUGGAUGACAAAGAAACAAUUGAUUGUCAACAAGUCUUCCUCUGAAGCAGAAUAUAGAGCACUGACAGCUGCAUCAUGUCAACUGCAAUGGAUUCUCUAUGUCCUUCAUGAUUUGAAGAUUAAAUGCACCAAAACUCCAGUCAUAUACUGUGACAAUCAAAGUGCACUUCAUAUAGCUGCUAAUCCUGUGUUUCAUGAACGCACAAAACACUUAGAGAUUGAUUGCCAUAUUAUACGUGAAAAACUUCAGGCCAACAUUCUCAAAUUUCUGCCAAUCUCCUCCAAAGAGCAAAUUGUUAACUUCUUCACUAAAGCUCUUCUUCCUCAACCAUUCAACAAUCUAUUGUCCAAGUUGGAGAUGAUAGACAUAUAUCACCCUCCAACUUGUGGGGGGCUAUUAGACACUAAGCACACAGAUGAGAAUAAUAACACUUAGAGAUUGAUAACUUGCAAUGCAAGCAACCUCACCUAUACUAUUAGAUUGUACUUUCAGCUAUUGUGUAGUACAACUAGAUUAGUGUAGUACAUUUAGUUUACCUAUAUAUACUGAUUGUAACUCUCUCAUUUUUGUUGAUAAUGAAGAAUCAUUUCAAUUUUCUAUUGUUUCAUAAUAACAACAUUAACCAAUAAUUGAGUUGAAGCUGGGUUUAAGUUCCAGUCUAUAAAAUAUCUCUAACAAGGUUUACCUUUUAAGAUCUUGUGCUCAUAGCAAAACUUGUUAAAUAUGAUGUAUUCAAAUUAACCACCAUUGUCGGUUCUAUGUUUUUUAUUCUUCAACCCUGUCUCAUUUUCUACUAUGGCUUUCCACAUCUUGAAAGACUCAAAUACUGCAAACUUAUGUUUAAGAAAGUGCACACAUACCAUAUAUUGGUCUCUCGAGAUUUCACAAUUGCUUGAUGAGAUUUUAAGACACAUACAACAAUAUUAAAAGAAAUGAAAUCCUUGAAACAUAAAGCAUAUUUUAUUAACAUCAAGAAAUACACACGACAAUCAAGCCAUGAUUUUCUCAAGAAGAUGUCUUGAUUGCCUUGAUUUUUUUAAUUAGAAGAUUAUGAAAAGCCACCAACUUCUCUUGAUCAGGGGUGUUUUCUUUGAUGACUGGAAAAUCCUUGAAAUUAUUAAACCAUAAAUGCAAUCGAGGGAACCUUUCACUUUGCAAGAUUUUCUCUCCAAAUAUAUCUUCCUGAACUUCAAUAAAUUUCACAAAAGAUCCAAGAGUUAUGUCUACAAUGCUAAUGGUGUCUCCCCCAUAGAAUUUCUUCUGAUCAUCCAAACACUGAUCCUCAACAACCCUGAGUCUCGCCCAUAAAUUCUCUUUAGCCUUCUCUCGCUCUUCACAACUUAUGCUAUGGCGGAAUGCCUCAAUUGCCGAAAUCUUGAAUUAUUGAUCAAAAUAGAGUUGUUAGUUUGAAUCAUGAUGGUAUCAUUAGAGCAUAUAAGUUUUGAAAAUGUCAUUUUUUUCCCUUUGUAUCAAGUUGGUCAUUUAUGUAUAAAAAUAUAUCAACAAUAUUAGACCAAACUACUUUUAACCUAUGUUUGUUAUCAAAAUUUUAUUUAACCAUUCAUCAAGGUAAAUUAUAUCUUCAAUUCAUCAAGAUAAUAUUUAAAUUACAUCAUAUACUAACCAUUGAAAUAUCUAAUUCAUCAAAGUUAGCAUGAUCAUUUUUAAAUUUUAUCUAAAAUUGUCAUCUUGCAGUCAAAAGAGAGUCUUAUUUUAGUGUUGAGUGUGAAACGUUCUUAAUUCUUAAUAGUAUACGAUUACACAAUGACAACAAGAAUGGACUAAGAAUGAAAGUUUAGUCAAAGAUGUAAACAAUUAGUAGAGAUAAAUGGGUAAUUUGACUAAGUUUUUCUUUUGAAAAAACUAAUUUGACCAAGUUAAAGUGCCUUUAGUUUAGUUUUUCCUAUAAUCAAAUGAUCACGAUGGAAAGGCUUGAAAUGAAAAGUAAAAAAAAAAUAUACAAAUAUGCUGAUUAAGUUUUGAAAAAUUUACCAUGCCAUCAACAUAUUUAACCCAAAAUCGGGCUUGAGCUUUGUCAUAGGGAUGAGAAGGAAGCAAUGAGUUGUGUGGCCAUAUCUCAUCAAUGUAUUCAACAAUGAUCAUAGACUCACAUAUUGGUUUUUCAUCGUGAAUCAGCACUGGAGUAUUCUUGCGUACGGGGUUAUAGUGAAGAAGUUGAGAGCUCUUAUUGAAACGAUCUUCCUCUAUGUUCUCAUAUGGUAUACCUUUCAAAUUUAGGGUCCAUACAACCCUUAAAGUAAAAGGACUAUACCAAAAUCCAUGUAGUUUCACCUCUGCCAUUCUCCUAAGCUUGUGUUUUCCCAAUCCAACAGUAACCCCUUUUAUAUGUCGUGAUCAAUCAAAGAGUCAUAUGAGAACACUCGUUAGCAAAACCAAAUACAUACAUAAACAUCAAUGUUAUUCACCAAAAUAAGAGGGAAAAAACAGUGCUAUAGUAUACGACAAUAUGUACCAACCAAUUUUAAAAUCUGUCCUGGAUGACAAAUUAAUGUCGUGACAAUUCUGUCCUUAUAAGAAGAUUCCUUCCAAACAAUUGUUUCUUUUUCUGCCUCACCAGCAUUAUUAUUGUUUCUUUUUUAUAAGAAGCAUUAUUAUUUUUUGUAUUCAUUAAGUAACAUGUCUAAGGUGAGUACCGAAUGAUAUUUAUGUCUACAUGUAGGUAACACCGCACAUUUUAACUUGAAGAGCAUCCCUGAGAAAAGCAUCAGACGUUCAAAUCUAACAUGCGUGGAUACUCAAGAUAGUGAGUAGAAUUGUUGCUCGGGAGUUUGGAUGACUUGGUGAGUUAAGAUCCUUUUUAUUUCUUAAAAUAAAUGUCAAUAUCCAUUAUUAUAGUUUUAAUUACAUAUUUAUACAUCAAAACUAUAAUAAUGGAUAUUGUCAUUUAUUUUAGAAAAUGGAGAUGAUAUCUACUCUAACUUUACGCAAACUGCCUCAAGUAUUGAUCACGAAAUUACAGCCCAAGAUACAAAGCCUCCAUUUCUUAACCAUCGAGUUGAUGACACAUGAUUCCCUAACAUAAGUGGAUGCACUUGGCAUCUUUUGGAAGAAAACAAAGUUGUAAUCAAUGCUUUACAAACUGAACCAGCGAGACCUCCAAAGUUGUAAUCAAUGUUUAACAAAUGAAUAAAUAGAUUUUUUAUAUGUUAGAUCCUGAUACUUUUUACACCAAUAUUUUUAAAGAUCCGAUACUUUUUUGGCGUAAAUGCAUUUUUUAUCCCUCAUUUAAAAAAAUAAAAAUAAACGAUUGAUCUCCCCAUUUUAAAAACCUGAUUUUUGGUCUUGCAAUAUAACUUUUUUUCUUCUUUUAAAUUUUGAUCACUCAUCUCGUUUUUGGAUAUUUUUUAUGAUGUAACAUAUUCAUUCAUAAACUCUCCAUCUUAUUUUUUACAAAUUAGGAUUUUUUUUUUUAUUUUUUUUUUACUAUUGAGUUUUUUAUAAUUUUGAAUGAGAUGAAAGAAGAAAAAAAAAUCAUCUAGAGGAUUAAAAAACUGAGUUUUAUUAUUAUUUUUCUAAAUAAUAAAUGAAGACCAAAACUUUAUUAUUUUUUUCUAAAACUAUGGGGACGAAAAAAAUACAUUUAAACUGACUAAUUUUUAUAUCAAUGGUUUUUAAGCUCAAUACUUCCAAUCACAUAAGUUUAUCUGUAAUGUCACUUAUAUAGAAUAUUUUGGUCCCGUAUACACAACAAACAUUCUUAUUUAAUCUCUUACUAUUUAUCAUUAAUAAUAUUGUAGAUUUCUAAUUUCUCUAUACAAACAUGAUGACACUUCGUCAUAUCAAGUAUUAAUUAAUCUAUCUUAGAAGUUGUCUUACAUUCAUUUUAACAAGUUUUUGUAUAUUUUAGUUGAGUUUUGUAAUAAUUCAAAUGAAGGUUCACGAAAUGAUGUAUCAAGUGAUCUUUUGGGGUAUAUUCACCAGGGACGUUUCAGUGAGGAGAAAUGAGACAAGGAAUACAGAAAAUUAUAGGAUCCAAUUACGUCUUUAUGCGCAAUGCACGCAAGGUUUUGCGCACUGCGCAUUAUCAUUUCAAUAAAUUGUGGUGACCGCGCACCUAUAAAUAGAUGCAACCUUUUCAUCCAAAAACACUUUUUUUAUUACAACCGGAAGCUGAGGAAAAUGAUUCGAGUAGCCAAAAAUAUCCCAGAGACAAUGAUUCAUUAUAUGGUGAUCAUAUAUUCAAGUAAUACUCUUCAUAAGUUAUGUUUAUGUUUAGUUUUAUUAUGAGUAGAGUAGCUACUUUUUUAGGUUAGUCAUGUAGAAAAUCAUCUCUAUAGUUACUUCAACCAUAAUCCAUUGAGUACAUAUGAAUACAAUUAAAUUGCUAAGUUUUAUUCGGUUAAUAUUUGAUAUUAAUGUUUUUAUGCGUUUACGAAUGUUUAUAAAUCAAUCGAGGUCGUGAAUGACUAUUAACUCUAACUUUUGAGACUUUGAUAUAAUAUUAAUUGUUUGAUAUGUAAUAGCUUUAAAAAUAUUAUACUACCACCUUUGUGACAAACAUUAGAGGGAUGUGAUCGGCGAUGAGAGUUAUGAUUCAAGACAUUGGUCUUAACUAUUUUGUUAAAGCCUCUUGAAAUUAAGUAAGCAGUUGUAGGCUUUGGACACAGUUACCAAUUAGCGAAAGAGAAGUAAAUCGAACAUUAUCUGAUCGUUCUUUUAUCUGUAAUUAUUUAGUUGUGAAUCAAAUUAUGUCUUAGGAAUCCCCCAAUUUACACAUUCUGUUUUAAAUUGUUGUUGUUAAGUAGAAAUUUCAUAAUUCCUAUAGAUAGGAACUUAUAAAUAUUAUUACUCGAUGACAUUUUAAUACACUUUCCAUAUUUCUUUUUGAGUGUUGUUUUUUGGACAUGUGUACUAUUCACAUAAUCUACUAUUAUCAUGUUUUUUCAUUAAUAUAUAACGAAAAUAUUUGCGUAUAAGAUGUUCAAAUUGUCUCGAUAAAUAUUUUUAAAUUAUCAACUUUCUUUUUGUAAUUGUUGGCAGUGGCGGAGUUAGAAAUAAUUUUUUUGGAUAGGCCGACUUUUAAUAUGUGCAAAUUUAUAUGUUCUUAUUAGUUAAUACGAGUGAUUUUUUAUCUUUGGAACAUGAUUUAAACAUGUAUUUUAAGGAUAUGUUUAACAUAGAUAUCAGUUAAUUCUUAAUAUUAUAUAUAUAUAUAUAUAUAUAUAUAUAUAUAUAUAUAUAUAUAUAUAUAUAUAUAUAUGUAUGUAUACUUUUACUGAAAAAAGAAUUGUGCUUUAUUCAAAUAUAUUGUUGGUGAGAGGUAAAACAUUAGAUAUAUAAUUAUUAAAAACAAUAGUAAUUUUUAAUUGAACGUUGUUACCUUGUUAACGAUUGCCCUCGAGACACUCUUUAAGUAUUCUAAAUUAAGUAAUUUUUUUAAAAAAAAUAUCAAACUUUUCAAUUUUCAAUGCACCAAUUACACUAACUUUCAUAAAAGUUUACGAUUUAAGGUCCUUAAUUAGUGCCUCGGGGGUACUCCCUCCGUUUCUAAAUAUAAACAAAUUUUACAUUUUAGGUUCAUUCAAUUAAUGAUGUAUGUAGUCCAUGUUAUAAACCACAUACAUCAUUAAUUAAAUGAAUCUAUAAAGUAAAAUUUGUUUAUAUUUAAAAACGGAGGGAGUAUUAGUUAACAUUUCCCUUUAAAAUAUCAAUUGUCAAAGUUGUUUAUUGGCAUACAUGUGUGAAGUAAUUAACAACAACACUAAAAAAGAAAGAGUAGUUUUAAAACUAAAGUAAAUGCUAAAACAUUAUUAUGAUUUGUAAAUCAUAUAAAAGCAAAAAUGAUAUUUAGCCACCAUUUAUUUUCUUACAUCUAUUCAACACAUCAUAUUUUAUAUGUAUCUCUCUCUUCUUAUCAUCAAUUUAUUAAAUCUAUCACAUUACUCAUUUUUUUCUCAUUAUCUAAAGGUGUAUACAACACACCCAUUCAAAAAGAUAUAUAAAUUGUGUAUAUAUUAAAAUUUUAGACUUAUGAAGUAAUAUCGUGUGUCAAAUACAUUUGUAUGAGAAGAUAACAAAUGCCUUCUCUCUUAAUCAGAAAUUGAGUACAAAUAUAGUUUUAUAGAUUUCCUCUUUUGUGGGAGAGUUUUGUUAUUCAUUUUGAUUCUACCGACUCAAGUAGUAAAAGACAUGAAUCAUUUUAAACUUUAAUUAUUGUUGCAAAAAGACAACACAAAGCAACUAUUAUUAAAAUAAAGUAAUACACAUGACUCAGAUAGAUUACCCCAAAUGCUUUGUACAUCAAUUCAUAGAAGCCAUAAUUUUCUCAAAAAGAUACCAAUAUUUUUUCAAUAAGGCACUUUCCAAAAGCCACCAACUUCUCUUGACCAGGGGUGUUUCCUUUUAUGACUGGAACAUCUUUAAAAUUAUUAAACCAUAAAUGUAAGCGAGGGAACCUCUCACUUUGCAAGACCUUCACUUCAAACAUAUCUUCUUGAAUCUCAAUAAAUUUGACAAAAGAUCCAAGAGCUAUGUCUACAAUGUUAAUGGUGUCUCCCCCAUAUAAUUUCUUCUUAUCAUCCAAACACCAAUCCUCAAUAACUUUGAGUCGCUCCCAUAAAUUUUCUCUAGCCUUUUCUCGCUCUUCACCACUUAUGCUAUUGAGGAACGGUUCAAUUGCCGAAAUCUUCAAGGAUUGAUUUUAAUGUUGUUAUUAGUUUGAAUCAAGAAGAUUGUAUCGUUAGAACAUAUAAGGUGAAUGUUUAUAAGAAACAAGGUAAAAUGAAUAGGCAAAACUACACUACACCAUGCACCAUUUAACUCAAUUUAAAGAUUUGAAAAUGUCAUUUUUGUUUUUCGUGUUAAAGUUGGUUAUUUAUGUUUAGAAACGUUAACACUAUUGAACCAAAAGUUUUAACUAACCAUUCAUCAAGUUAAAUUACAUCUUCAAAUAAUCAAGAUGACAUCUAAAUUACAUCAUAGUGAUUAUUAAAAUUAGAGUGAAACAUUCUUAAUUCUUAGUAGUAUAUCAUUCAAUGAUCUUGUACACAAUGACAAUAAAAGUUUACUAGGAAUGAAAGUUGAGUGAAUGGUGUAAAUAUUUUUAAAUAUAAAUGAUUAAUUUGCAUAUAAAAUGAGCAGAAAAUGUAUUGUGAAAAGAUUAAAAGUAAAAAUAAAUAAAUACAAAUAUGAUGAUUAAGUGUUGGAAAUAUGUACCAAUUCAUCGACAUAUUUAACCCAAAAUCGGGCUUGAGCUCUAUCAUAAGGAUCAGCAGGAAGCAAUGAGUUGUGUGGCCAUAUCUCAUCAAUGUAUUCAACAAUGAUCAUGGACUCACAUAUUGGUUUUCCAUCAUGAAUUAGCACUGGAGUCUUCUUGUAUAUUGGGUUAUAUUGAAGAAGCAGAGGACUUUUAUUGAAGCGAUAUUCCUCUAUGUUCUCAUAUGGUAUACCCUUCAAAUUUAAGGUCCAUACAACCCUUAAAGUAAAAGGACUAUACCAAAAUCCAUGUAGUUUCACCGUCAUUCUGCUAAACUUGUGUUAUC